UGAGGAAGAGGUAAUGCUGCAACAAGAUCUAUGAAGAAAUCUGAUCUCAAAUAUCUCCUUCCGAUCAACUUAGGAUCCAUAACAAGUUCACCUCUCCCAAAAACUCUUGAACUAGGUGAGUCAUAAGCUGUCCUAAACUUUAUUACAAUAUGAUCUAUGUAAAAUACAUCAGCAAAUGUUCUAAAACAUGUCACAGUAAUUCCUAAAUUCAAAUCAGUAUCCAUACAAGAUGACUUUUCCUUGUUGCUUGCUGAUGAAAGGAAAAAAAAACAAUGGAUCAACAAAGAGUGCUGUCAAGCAUGAGAAGAGGAAAAUCCUGUUCCAUUUCAAGAUAACAUCACUUCCUGGAUCAAGAAUUCUCUCUCUCCAAUAUGGCUCAUGAUGAUUCUCUGGAAAUACCAUAAACCUUCCAAAUCUAGGAACCUUGUUACUUGUGUUUCUGUCACUAUUAAUACCACCUCCUUAGUUUUAAGCAAUGGCUCUGAUGUUUUAUGUACAGGCAAUGUCUUCUCCAGGUUUUGACUAGCAUUAAAGCUGUAAAUUUUGAGAACACCCUUUAACCAAAUCAUCAAAGAAAGCAAAUGUGAAUCAUAAAAGAGAGAAAAUACAAGCAAAGAGACUAACCUUACUAGCUUCUCUUUCUUGAACUCCAUGACUGUAAGUAAUCCUAUAAUAUACUAUGUAUCCAAGAAAGGGAUACAAAAGAGGAUUGUCUUCAAAAAGUUUCACUGAAUUUUUCAUUUCUGAUUUGAAAGUAAAUCUUUCUUUCAAGAAAUGGACCUUGAGUUCCAAGCUGAAUAAAAUGAAAGGAGAUUUUGCAGAAAGAGGAAAAGAGAGGCUUUAGGUGGUGAAAAGGCAAAGUGAGGUGUUCAAUGUGGUUGACUUCCAUUAAAAGCCCAACAGAAAACUAAUAGUGAAAGAAAAAAAUAAACACAGCUCAGAUAUUCAUUUGCUUUCUUCUUUAAUUUAUUCUUUAUAAUGAUUAUUCUAUGUCAAAAAACCAAGUUAAGGUGAGGUUUUUACUAUACAAUUUAUAUUUACAUUUACAGGAUUUUGAAUAUAUGAUAGUUUGGUCACUUAGAACUAUGAUAUCAUGUCAAAGAAACAAUUUAAUUAAAAAAAAAAUGUUAAAUAAAGUUCCAAUAUAUGAUUUAUAUUAUUCUCUAAUAUAUUCGGACCAGCUUUUAUAUAGAAGUUAAUCUUUUUCCGAUAAGAUCUUAAACAUUAUCUUUCACAUUUGAAUUAUUGUAUUCAUGAAAAAUUUCAUUUUCAUAUUAUUUUGGAUUGGAACCGUGAAGAAUAACACAGAGAGUAAACCUGCAGGCUAAACAUAAAAAAAUUCAGGUACUUUUAUAUAUGUUUUACAACACUAACUUGUAAGAAAGUGGACUUGAAGAGCAUGCCAAAAAUAAAAAAUUGAAAAAACAGUACAUGUAUAUCAGAGACCAAGAAGUUUUAUUAGCAGAUCUCUCGGGCAAAAUAUAUUCUAUUUUGUGUUUCUUUUUGAUGUAUAGUGUUUUUACUAGUGUCAUUGUUCAGAUGUUGACAAGAUUGAACUAAAAUUAACUUACAUGUUGCGGAAAAAUUACUUAAUAUUUGCCACAAGAAUUUGCAGCAUGGAGAAAUAAAAGUUUACAUCACCUUUUUACCUUGGCAAACUUCACUUAAGCAUGGUCUCACAUCUGCAAUGAAACCUCUGUCUCUCAUUUCUCCAACAAGUAGCAACGCCCUUGAUUCAUCCUUAUGCUGGAGAAGUCCUCGAAUAAUAACAUUAUAAGAAAUUUCAUCUGGAGGGCAGCCAUCCGCUUCCAUAUUUCGGAAAGCUUCCAAUGCUUCAUCUAACAAUCCUUCUUUACAAAGUCCAUUUAUUAUUGUAGUGUAUAGCUGAACAUGAGGCUGCAGCCCUUGGACAAAGAGUUCUGAAAACAGUUUCCUAGCAUCUUUAUGAUUCCCAGAUUUGCACAUGGCAUGAACCAGGAUGGUAUACAUCACCAGAUUAGGCUUCAAGUAAGUACUUUGCAUUGCUCGAAACAGUCUGAAUGCCUUACCAAGAUACCCUUGUUUGCAAAAGCCAUCAAGCAAUAUUGAGUAAGUAAAUAAAUCUGGGAGGUUGCCAUUAGUGCACAUAUUCCUGAAAAGAUCUUGUGCUUCCCUGAGCUUGCCUAAUUGGCAAAAGCCAUGAAUAAGAGUGUUGUAACUAACAUUGUUCGGAGUUAAGCCUUGAUGAAUCAUUUCAUUAAAAAGCUGCAUGGCCUCGUCUAUCCUUUUGGCCUUACAAUAUCCAUUAAUUAAGAUGUUAUAACUAAAAAUAUUUGGUUUACAACCCUUGGUUAUCAUGACAUGAAACAGCUUUCUAGCUUCAACAACAUCCGUCCACAAGGAAUAUCCAUACAUCAACGAACUGUAAGUAACAACGUUAGGCUCCACACCCAUUUCAGUCAUUGUUUUUAACACACCUAGAGCCUCUGAAACCUUGCCUUCUUUACAAAAAGUAUCAACUAGCACGUUGAAGGUGACAAUAUCUGGCAUGAUAUUCAAACUCGUCAUUUCAUUUAGCAAAGCCGAAGCCUCCUUCCAUCGGCUGAAUUUACAUAAGCCCUGGAUCAAAGAGGUGUAAGUGAAAAUAUCUGGGGAAAUGCCUUUAGCCUUCAUAUAAGAGAAGAUAUCUAAAGCCUCAUUCACCAGCCUAUCUCUGCAAAGACUGUCAAUGAGUGUACUGUAUGUCACCAUGUUCGGCUGGCAGCCUGCCUCUUCCAUUUUCUUAAGCAAUCCAGCAGCCGCAGCAGUUUCCCCAAUCUUACAUAAGCCAUUGAUAAUCGUAUUAUAUGUGUAGACAUCAGGUUGACACCCUUUUGCCACCAUGUCAUCAAAUAAUUCCACGGCUUGGGCAAAUUCACCCACUUUACAGAGCCCAUUGAUUAAGGUGGUAAAUGUGACAAUAGUGGGUUGAAGACCAAGUUUAAUGACUUUGGCCAAGACAGAGAACCCAAGAUCAACACGUUGCAACUGGCAGAAGCAAUUCAUAAAGAUACUAAGCGUAUAAAUAUUAGGAGAGAGCCCAACUAAUUCCAUUUGUUUGGAAAGAGAAAUCACAACAUCGUAAUACUGUCCCAUUUUGACAAUUGCAGACAAUAAUUUGGCGAAUUGGAUAAUACAAGGCAGGGGUUUCCUAUGAAGCAUGUGAUUGAAAGAAGCAAGGGCAUCAUCAAUGUUUCUAAAAGAAGAAGAAGCGUCAUUUUUGUGUUGAUAUGUACUGCUACAGCUACUGCUAGAAGAAGAAAUGGAGUUGGAGUGGUUGAUAGACAACAUUGAUGAAGUGGUUGGAGAUGGAAGAAUCAUACCCGUCAUUUUCAUUUGGCAUCGCUGAAAAUGGGACCCAGUGAAAAAGGCUUCUGAACCUCCUCGUCUCACUGCCGCCGCCGCCAUCAUCGUCGACCUUCCUAGGUGUUUUUCCUUCUCCCUGUGGUCUGUUUUUUUAUUGACCCAAAUGACAGAGACACUUUGUAACAAAUCCGGAAGAUUGAAGAAAGGGAUUUGCGGAAGCAGGACCCCCCCUCUCUCUCUCUGACAAGGAAUGCAGAAGUUUGGGGAAGUAAAUUAGUUGGGAAUGAACGGUUUAGAAAGCAAAUCAUACACAUUUUUAAAAAAAAAACAACAAAAUUCAAUCCGUAUGGAAAAAAAUAAAUCAGAAUUAAUCCAGUUUAUGCGGUUAAACUAGCUAUUUGACUGACAUCAAUUAAUAAAAAGUAAAUUUAAAAAAUAAGCAUGAUUUUUAAUAAAUAUAAUAUUUUGAAGUGGAGAAAAAAAAAUUAAAUUUAUCAUAAUGAUAUAUAACCCAAGAGAAAAAAAUACAAAGCAUAAUUACUAAAAUUAAAAAUAAAAACUAAGAAAAAAAACAAGUUGUUAUAAAAUGAAAUUAAAAAAACUCAAAAAAUAGUUAAAAAAACAAAUCAACUAGAAAAACUAAUAAAAAAAACUCUUAUCACCGUAGAUUAAUUUGUUAAACCUAGUUUCUAAAUCAUGAAAUCAGUUAAAAUUCAUAAAAUAUAAAUGAAAAAAUAUUAUAAAAUUCUAUUUUCAACAAAUCUAAUAUUAAAUGUUGAAAUUGAGAAGAAAAAAAACUAAAUUCAUAAGAUUGAUAUAUAAUUUAAUUGAAAAAAUCAAAAAUAUUAUAAAAUUUAAUUUUUAAAACAAUUUUAUAUGAAAUAAUAAAAUUAAAAACAUUAAGAUUGAGUAAUUAAAAUGUAAAAUUAAGUAAAUUAAAAAAAAAACUCAUAAACGCCAUUCAGAUUAAUAUUAUUUUGAGUGUGGUUACAGUGAUUCAGCCGCAUGUUUAGUUUUUUUUUUUUGUUAUUUUUGUUAAUUUUACUGUAAAUAAUAUGAUAAUUCAUAAAUUAUUAAUUAAUAAUAUAUAUACAAAAUUAAAUAUUUAUAGCAAAUUAAAAAUAUUAGUGAUUUCACUAUACAUAUCAUUUCCCAUCUCAGUGCUUAUAUGUUUUAUUUUGCUUGGUAACUUUAUUGAAUGGUGAAAAAGGAGAAAACAAAAAGAAAAAGAAAGUGAUUCGUCGAACUUUUUUUUAAUUAAAACAUUAUCUAUUUAACCACGAGGCAAGCAUUAUAGGUUGAAAUAAUUCACCUUCUUUUAUCCUUUUAAUUGUUUUCUAAUUUAAUCAGUAAUUUGUUUAAUUCAUCUUUUAAUACUUUAUAAUUUUUAUUUAUUUAUUUUAUAUAUAAUUAUUAUGAUAUAAAAAAAAAUCCAACAUUAAAAUGAUUUUUAAUUUAGUCAAAAUAUAUUUACCGAUAUAAAUAUAAUUUGAUUUUAAAAAAAUUAAAAAUAAAUUUUUAUUAAUAAUAAAAUAAUGAAUGAACUCGGGCUUUAUGAAUUAUUUCAUCGUUCAUAGAACCUAGAUCAUGAACUUUUUAUUGUGUUUAUUCUUUGUAAAACAAAAUAUUACUUUUUAUUUAAUAAUAUAAUAACAAAAAUCAACAUUUGUUUCUGUAAAAUUAUAUUUGAGUACACAUGACAUGUAUUUGUUUAAAAAUAUAUUUGGAAUAAUUUAAUGUUUUUCCAAAUUUCGAUCCAAGCAUAUUAAAAUUAUCUUAAAAUAUCAAAAAAGACUAAUUUAAUAAUAUUACAAUUUAAAGCGCUUUACGAAAUACAGCCUCACUAGUCGCAACUGCAUCAAGGCCAUUCAUCCUCUUGAAUAAGAUUAUCUUGCUGAAAUUUAUCACGGAGCUCAGGGCCAUUUCAGCAAGAAAAUCCAAGGCAAUAAUGUGUUAAUCUCACCUGAUUGACUGUGACAAAACUCUAAUCAAGACUGCCUACAUGAGAUAAAUCACAAGCAACUCGCACCUUUUACAUCCACUUGGCUUCCAGCAACCUAAAAAGUAAUGGAGUCAUCCAUGGGUGCUUAUAGCACUAGUAAUGGCGUGGAGGAUUUUAAUUAAUAUCCCUUCAGGAUUGGAUCAUUUGCCUUCCAUAUUAGCUUUCUCCCAUUGGUAGUUGGCUGUUGGGUGAGAACAGGGGUCGAGCUAGUCAUCAUCUGGUUCUGUAGAGAAGUCUGGCUCUUCAGGUUUUUGCAACUUGAGCAUUUCAACAUUCUUGACUUUCUGUGCCCCUCUCCUUGUGUUUGCAGCAAAUCUUGAAGCUAGUAUUGUAACACCAAGGUGCUGUUUUGCUUGAGAAUUUGAAGGUGCAAAACUUGGUUCAUCCUCCUCUAGUGUUGUUUCAUCACAAACUGUUUGCUCAUCAACAGAAACUGAGAAGGACUCUGACAUGCUCAGGCUCUUUGCCAUCAUCCUCUUCUUGUGUCGACGCCAAGCAGCCUGAAUAAAGCAGGCAGCCCAGCUUCUCCAAUGGUAAGAGUAGAAACGGAAGGUAUGCUGUAGUUUCUUGCUAUGGAGACGUCUAAACUGAUUGGCAACGAACUUGAGGUCUUCUGCUCGCAAUGCAAAUGCUUCCACUUCUUCUAGUGCUCUCACUGUCCUUGUGGAAGAAGGUAAGUUGAGAGUAGAUUUUGGAAGCAAUGACCAGGCAAGCAGCUCUUCACCGCAGAAGUCACCAGGUCUCAAAGUAAUUGAAUUGAAGAAACCUGUUCGCCCUCCAUUUGUAGUUGAGCUCUCUAGCUUUCCCCUGAUAAUAAAAAGCAUCUCCGUAACCGGAUCACUUUCUCGAACUAUGUAGUUUCCUUGAGUACUCAAACAGGACACUAAGCGCUCACAUAUGGCAUCCAGUAGCUGAUCAUCCAUCUGCGAGAAAAAAGGAACCUACAAAUAGGAAAAACAUUAGCUAAAGCUGCAUGAGAUUUUAAAAUGCUUGAAAGUAACACUAGGGAGUCCCUUACUCGUCUAACAAGGUCCAAGCAUAGGUGACGCUGGAUGUCUCGACGAAGAUCCAUAGGUAAUGCACGCAGAAUUGAUUCUUCAUCAACCCCUCUAGUUGCAAGCCACUUGUAUUGAACAAAUCUUCUGACAUGUUCACGCAAACUUUGGGGCAGUUGACGAUGUCUCAUCCACUCUUCUGUGUCUCGUCGCUUGAGCCUCCACUCCUCAAGCCUCACAGUGAUAGAUUGCAUGUAGGUCUAUUCAAGAGAGAGUAUGUUAAAUACUGCAGAGUUUUGUAUCUCAGAAGAAAAUUAUCAUGAAAACUAUAAGGGAAAUACUCUCUUGAGAAUGAGAACACUUCCAAGUUUUUUCCAAGAAAACAGACUUCAAUAUUUUUGUAGCAGGGGAAGGUUUCUGUCACGACCCGAAUCCCGGGUCCAUGACCGGCAACGCAGGAGCGGUGCCGGAAGGACACCCCGCCCGCGCUAAGCCUCAAAACGGACAUAUCAAAAGAAUAAUUUAUUUCAAAAUACGCAGCAUUUCAUAAUCUUCAGAAAUCUUAUAUUACUCAAAACUGAUGAAACCAAAAAAUAGUUUAAAACUCCUCAUCAGUAAUUAAAACAAAAACAAUAAUCCAUAAUACUCAUUACAUUGUCAAAAUUCAGACUUAAAACAAGGUAAUAGUGGAGCGCCUAAGACAUCGAAUCAAACAACCUUGAAAGAUAAGCAAGGCAUACUGACCCAAAACUGAAGAAGCAGGAACACUCAACAAGGUUCACCUGCUAUCAGAAACUAAGAACCUGAAAUAAUAUUAAGAAUGAGGGGUGAGUUCAACCAACUCAGUGAGGGAAUAAUAAUUAAUAUACAUUUUAGAUAUUCUUGAUAUUUAUAGUUCGCAAGAUCAUUUAUCUUGAUAUACAUAUACAUAUACAUACUAAACUUAUCAUAUACAUAUCAUAUACAUAUCAUAUACAUACUAAACGUAUCAUCAUAACGUAGUGGACUAUAUGUCAGAGAUCAGAUGACACCCGAAGGUGACCAGAUGACACCCGAAGGUGACCAGACCAGAUGACACCCGAAGGUGACCACUGUGGGAUGAUCAGUCGCCACAGGCUGAUGCCUCUCUCACCAGCUAGGUAUACAUACAUAAUACUAUGUGCACACAGGCUAACUACUCUCCGUUAGCAUGGAGUUACUGACAAGUCCCAUAUCAAGGCAUAAUAGAUAUUCACAUAAUCAUCAAAGAAACGUAUAUCAUAUCAAAUAGGAUUUACUUUGACAGAUUGCGAGUGCAAAUUCAAGAAUAAAUGAGUACUCGGAAAAUAAGCAACAUAUAUAAUUAUUCAAGAAAUUAACGAGUUGUACUCAUUGUAUAAUCAACAUACAUAUUUACUUAUCAUAUAUGCAUAUUAAAGAUUAUUCCACUCACCCGGAAAAUAUAGAACUAAAAGGAAUGUCAGACGAAAGACCCGAAAAUCCUAUUGAGGAUCAUUAGGAGAACCUACAACAAUAUAUGAAAUAUACUCAAAAAUAACUCAAACAAAAGAUCCCAAUGCAUAAAAUAAAAUCAGCUUUAGUCUCCUACGUUUAUGGACUAAAACGACAAUUUUCCAAAACAGGGACCAAAACGUAAUUUUACCAAAACUGGACCAAUCUGGAAAAUACAUAACUAUACUGAAUUUUCACCCAUAAACCAUCCUUAAUUCUGUCUAGAACGAACCAUGGACCGAACUGUAAUUUUCAUAAAGUUCAGGGACUAAACUGUAAAUUUCCAAAAUUGAGGGACCAAACUGAAAAUAUUCCAAAUCAAUUGUCAAACUCAGAUUCAUCAUCCUUAACCUCAUAAUAACACUGUCCAGAAUCUCAAAAUACAAUUAGGGGUCAAAUUAUAAUUUUUCCCAAAGUUUAGGGACUAAACUGUAAUUUCACAAAUUGAGGGACCAAAUUGAAUUUUCGUCAUCUUCAACCUCAAACCCAGAAUUUCACAGAUUACCUACUGUCAUCACCUGAUUUCUAACACAAUUUCACCAUUCAAAUAAAAUCAUAACUCAAAAUCAUCAUCUUUACCUCCAAUCUCUCACAAUCAACUAAUUAACCAAUUACCCACAACAAUCAACCCAUAACCUUCCAAUUAAUUCAUCAAUCAAACUCAAAACACAAUAUUCAAAACCCUAACAUUUAUCAAAACAGAACUUAAAGCUUAAAGAACACACAUUUAUACAUAAUCUUACCUUUAAACUUAUUUUCCUCUACUUCUCUCCCUUUUCCCUUCUCUUCCCCUCUUUUCUCUUCUUCUUCUUCCUCCUCCCUUCUCUCUCACGGUUUGCUCCUUCCAUUUUCAGAUCCCUCUUUCUUUCUUCUUCUUUCUUUUAUUUAUAUUUAUCAACUAUUGUUCAAUUACCACAAUACCCCUCAUUUAAUUAUACUUACUUCUAAGCCUCCAAGGGCUUGGUUGCCCUUUCCUACUAAUUUAUUUGCAAAACAUCACAGUUUCAAUUGCAACAGAGGCCAAAAACAGCCUAAGGUUAUGUCAUGUGUCCACAUUACCUGCAUAUUCCCAAUCAAAUGAGCAAAUAAAACCAGGCCCAAGAUGGCAAUGAGUAUGGCAAAUGCAGUUUCCCCAAUGAAUGUGCUUGUAGACAAAGACUGGCCAUAGGAACUGAAAAAUACAAUAAGCAGAAAAGAUAUGUUAGAAGUUCCUAUAAAAACCUCUUUGAGUUAUGGAGACAAUUAGAUGGAAUCUAUGUAUCUGUGGAUAAUAAUACCACAGAAACUGCAUGCAGAAGAAAGAAAAUUUUCUCCUUCAACAUCAUGCAUCGAUUCAAACAGCUAGUGAAACUGAUAAAAUGCAAUCAGAUUCUAUCAUUAUCUUGAAUGAAUAUCUAUGGUGAAUUUCAAUGAAGUCAUGCCCCACCAUAAACAAUACAAGUACUUUUCAAGAAACUCAGAGGAAAGUACUUUCUGCUGCAAUGCAUUUGCGAAUAUGUCAUAAUCAAAAAAGGAAGUGUCGUCUGGAUUACAUCUGGCAAACAAAACAGUAGUGUUUUCCCAGGACUUGCGAUCAGGAAAUUCCAAAGUUUCGCAAUCCAAGUAACGGGGGUUGCAUGGUAUAGGGCUUAAUUCAUGUUUGCAAGCAGAUUUCCAGCAUGUUGCAUGACGCUCAAUCGACAGCAAAUACCAUGAUGCCCCCAACACCUACAAGAUCACAGGCCUAAUCAGUGUAAAGCCGCACUAAAUGACCGACACAACAGCAAUAGCUAUUGUUUUGUGAGAGCAGCAAGUAGUAUAGCCUAUAAAUGCAAGUAUUUUCUGAUUCAAGGAGGCAUUACGUACAUGACUAGCCAGCAUGUAUAGCAGGAGAUUAUACGCAGCCCCUGCCCAGGCAGUCUUUGUAACUACUCCAGUGGCUUUAAUGAUCUCAGAACUUAAUGGAAAAAUCAAAUACAAUCUGGGAAUUUAUUGGAGCAGAACAAUCAGUACUAGGGCAUUAUUGGUAUGAUCAGCACGCGAGCUUCUAAUUGUUGGUAUAAUAAACCAUAUCACAAUCUGCCAAAGGGAACAAUUUGAUGUCAUUUCUUCUUUAGCUUCAAAGGACAGAUUGCAAUAACGAAAAGGCACUAAAAAUCAAAGAAAUAUGAAAACUUUCAUUUGCAAGUAAUGGGUGCUUAAAAAAUCAAAUACACUGCCAUAUGUGUCAUAUUUCAAUCCAAAAGAGCAGGCACAAUCGCAUAUUCUUAGUCACAAAGUUAAGAAUCAAACUCGAGACCUUUCCCCCUCUCUGCAGAGGUGAACGCCACUGGGCGAAACGCGGAUUUGUAACUUCAGCUCAACCUCAAGAAGUGAAAGAAAUUCCUGGAAUUUUGUGGCAAAAGGGAAGCUGAAAAUUGCAGUAGCAACUUCAACCUCAUCAACUAAAUGAAAAUUUCAAGUUCGUUCUCAUUUUUUACAAGUAGCUGUGAUUUCUAUGCAAAAAAGAAAAAAAAAUGAAAUCACAGGCUAAAAUUCUACAUUCAAAUCAAAUAAACAAAAGCAGAAACGAAGAUAGGAAUGUAUGUACCUGAGGAAGAGGUAAUGCUGCAACAAGAUCUAUGAAGAAAUCUGAUCUCAAAUAUCUCUUUGCGAUCAACUUAGGAUCCAUAACAAGUUCACCUCUCCCAAAAACUCUUUAACUAGGUGAGACAUAAGCUGUCCUAAACUUUAUUACAAUAUGAUCUAUGUAAAAUACAUCAGCAACUGUUCUAAAACAUGUCACAGUAAUUCCUAAAUUCAAAUCAGUAUCCAUACAAGAUGACUUUUCCUUGUUGGUUACUGAUGGAAGGUA
RNAcentral lists this long non-coding RNA (10645 nucleotides) under Populus trichocarpa (black cottonwood). Its description in RNAcentral is "long non-coding RNA (PTRI_LNC001894)". The record is from RNAcentral. Lineage: Eukaryota; Viridiplantae; Streptophyta; Magnoliopsida; Malpighiales; Salicaceae.